Molecule: ribosomal RNA, 253 nt
Filed under: uncultured bacterium
Lineage: Bacteria
Description: partial 16S ribosomal RNA
Rfam family: Bacterial small subunit ribosomal RNA
Source: RNAcentral
UACAGAGGGGGCAAGCGUUGUUCGGAAUUACUGGGCGUAAAGGGCGCGUAGGCGGCCCGCUAAGUCGAACGUGAAAUCCCUGGGCUCAACCCAGGAACUGCGUCCGAUACUGGCAGGCUUGAAUCCGGGAGAGGGAUGUGGAAUUCCAGGUGUAGCGGUGAAAUGCGUAGAUAUCUGGAGGAACACCGGUGGCGAAGGCGGCAUCCUGGACCGGUAUUGACGCUGAUGCGCGAAAGCCAGGGGAGCAAACGGG